Molecule: small nuclear RNA, 167 nt
Organism: Coregonus clupeaformis (lake whitefish)
Lineage: Eukaryota; Metazoa; Chordata; Actinopteri; Salmoniformes; Salmonidae
Product: U1 spliceosomal RNA
Exons: 1
Source: RefSeq, a predicted model, not a curated record
AUACUUACCUGACAGGGGAGACACCUUAAUCAUGAGGUUCACCCAGUUAUGCCCGGCCAUUGCACUCCGGCCAUGCUGACCCCUGCGAAUUCCCCAAAUGUGGUAGUGAGGAACUUACAAUUACCACAUAAUUUGUCGUAGUGAGGAACUACAGCUGCCUCUCCCUU